CUGACCUGCCCAGUGAUUAAUUUAACGGCCGCGGUAUAUUGACCGUGCAAAGGUAGCAUAAUCAUUAGUCUUUUAAUAGAGGGCUGGAAUGAAAGGUUUAACGAGGAACUGACUGUCUCAUUUUAUUUGUUUUAAAAUUUAAUUUUUUAGUUAAAAAGCUAAAAUUUCAUUGGAAGACGAGAAGACCCUAUAGAUCUUUAUAAAAAUUUAUGUAAUUAUUAUUAUAUUAAUAUAAUUAUUUAUUUUUCUAUUCUGUUGGGGUGACAAAAAUAUAAAUAUAACUUUUUCAUUUAUUUUACAUUGAUUUAUGAACAUUAGAUCCAUUAUUAUUGAUUAUUAGAUUAAGUUACCUUAGGGAUAACAGCGUAAUCCUCCUCCAGAGUUCAUAUUUACAGGAUGGGCUUGCGACCUCGAUGUUGGAUUAAGAUAAUAAUUAGGUGUAGCUGCUUAAUUUAUAGGUCUGUUCGACCUUUAA
This 475-nucleotide ribosomal RNA is filed under the name Trithemis ellenbeckii. RNAcentral's name for it is "partial 16S ribosomal RNA". It matches the Rfam family "Archaeal large subunit ribosomal RNA", at positions 1946 to 2660 of the family's 2987-position model. Lineage: Eukaryota; Metazoa; Arthropoda; Insecta; Odonata; Libellulidae. The record is from RNAcentral.